UACGUAGGGGGCAAGCGUUGUCCGGAUUUAUUGGGCGUAAAGAGCGUGUAGGCGGUUUGGUAGGUCCGUUGUGAAAUCUCGGAGCUUAACUCCGAAACUGCAUUCGAUACUGCCGUGCUUGAGGACUGGAGAGGAGACUGGAAUUUACGGUGUAGCGGUGAAAUGCGUAGAUAUCGUAAGGAAGACCAGUGGCGAAGGCGGGUCUCUGGACAGUUCCUGACGCUGAGGCACGAAGGUCAGGGGAGCAAACGGG
This 253-nucleotide ribosomal RNA is filed under the name uncultured bacterium. Its description in RNAcentral is "partial 16S ribosomal RNA". It matches the Rfam family "Bacterial small subunit ribosomal RNA", at positions 524 to 776 of the family's 1533-position model. The record is from RNAcentral.